ACGGUCAUAGGUUAAUGGUAGACUAUUCGUUUUCCACACGAAGUAUGUCGAUUCAAGUUCGACUGACUGUA
RNAcentral lists this transfer RNA (71 nucleotides) under Gomphillus americanus. Its description in RNAcentral is "tRNA-Gly". It matches the Rfam family "tRNA". Rfam says of the family: Transfer RNA (tRNA) molecules are approximately 80 nucleotides in length. Their secondary structure includes four short double-helical elements and three loops (D, anti-codon, and T loops). Further hydrogen bonds mediate the characteristic L-shaped molecular structure. tRNAs have two regions of fundamental functional importance: the anti-codon, which is responsible for specific mRNA codon recognition, and the 3' end, to which the tRNAs corresponding amino acid is attached (by aminoacyl-tRNA synthetases). tRNAs cope with the degeneracy of the genetic code in two manners: having more than one tRNA (with a specific anti-codon) for a particular amino acid; and 'wobble' base-pairing, i.e. permitting non-standard base-pairing at the 3rd anti-codon position. Lineage: Eukaryota; Fungi; Ascomycota; Lecanoromycetes; Ostropales; Graphidaceae. The record is from RNAcentral.